UCGCCUGUUUAUCAAAAACAUAGUUUAGUGAUGAAAAAUACUAAAUGAAUUCUGCCCAGUGUAUUUGAAAAUAAAUGGCCGCAGUACCCUGACUGUGCUAAGGUAGCAUAAUCAAUUGGCUUUUAAUUGAAGUCUGGAAUGAAAGAAAUAAUGAAGAAAUGCUGUCUUAAAGAUAUUGAUUUUAAUUUAUUAAAAAGGUGAAAAUACCUUUUUUAAAAAAAAAGACGAGAAGACCCUAAGAAUUUUUAAUUAAUUUUUUAAUGAUUAAUUUUUUGUUGGGGCGACAAAUUAGAAUUUUAAACCUAAUUUUUUUAAACAGGCGAAUUUUUUAAGGAAUAAAAAAUUACCUUAGGGAUAACAGCAUAAUAUUGUUAAAAUGUUUGUGACCUCGAUGUUGGACUAGGAACUUUAUGGCUAGCAGUCAGAAGAGAUUUAUUCUGUUCGAAUAAUUUUAUCCUACGUGAUCUGAGUUCAGACCGGA
This 481-nucleotide ribosomal RNA is filed under the name Bulinus globosus. Its description in RNAcentral is "partial large subunit ribosomal RNA". It matches the Rfam family "Bacterial large subunit ribosomal RNA", at positions 1796 to 2620 of the family's 2925-position model. The record is from RNAcentral. Lineage: Eukaryota; Metazoa; Mollusca; Gastropoda; Planorbidae.